GGGGGCGUUGGAACCGGUGUUCCCGGCGGUCUGCAAAACCGUUAGCCGCCUGUAACCCAGGUGGAAGUGGGUUCGACUCCCAUUCGCCCCCUCCA
This 95-nucleotide transfer RNA is filed under the name bacterium BMS3Abin01. RNAcentral's name for it is "tRNA-Cys". It matches the Rfam family "Selenocysteine transfer RNA". The record is from RNAcentral. RNAcentral also lists the same sequence under 1 other name.